AAAGUCGUAACAAGGUUUCCGUAGGUGAACCUGCGGAAGGAUCAUUAUCACGUAUCCACGUAUAAACCAUUGUGAACCGUAUCUAGCCCUUUGUUGAGAGUGAGGUAGUGGGUUAUUAAACAUAUGAACUCUUAUGUGAUUUGUAGUUCGUUUGAUAACUCCAAUGUCAAUUUAUUGAUAUACUCGUUCACUUCAGAGGUGUAUUUUCAAAUCACUUAUUGUAUUAACAAUUUAAACCAUUAUGAUUUUGUGUCUGAUUUUUUUGUUACUCUUAACGGAGAACAAAUUCAUUACGAAACUAUUAUACAACUCUUAGCAACGGAUAUCUUGGUUCUC
Molecule: unclassified non-coding RNA, 336 nt
Filed under: Ascomycota sp.
Lineage: Eukaryota; Fungi; Ascomycota
Description: partial contains small subunit ribosomal RNA, internal transcribed spacer 1, and 5.8S ribosomal RNA
Rfam family: Eukaryotic small subunit ribosomal RNA (bases 1-47)
Source: RNAcentral